RNAcentral lists this ribosomal RNA (253 nucleotides) under uncultured bacterium. RNAcentral describes it as "partial 16S ribosomal RNA". It matches the Rfam family "Bacterial small subunit ribosomal RNA", at positions 524 to 776 of the family's 1533-position model. The record is from RNAcentral.
UACGGAGGGUGCAAGCGUUAUCCGGAUUCACUGGGCUUAAAGGGUGCGUAGGCGGGUUGGUAAGUCCGUGGUGAAAUCCCCAAGCUUAACUUGGGAACUGCCGUGGAUACUAUCAAUCUUGAAUAUCGUGGAGGUAAGCGGAAUAUGUCAUGUAGCGGUGAAAUGCUUAGAUAUGACAUAGAACACCAAUUGCGUAGGCAGCUUACUACACGAUCAUUGACACUGAGGCACGAAAGCGUGGGGAGCAAACAGG